This is a long non-coding RNA of Mirounga angustirostris (Northern elephant seal), 231 nucleotides long. RefSeq lists it as uncharacterized. The transcript is spliced from 3 exons. The record is from RefSeq and is a predicted model, not a curated record. NCBI's taxonomy places the organism in Eukaryota, Metazoa, Chordata, Mammalia, Carnivora, Phocidae.
GCGCCCAUGGAACAGCAGGAAAGAGGAAAGAAAAAGAAAGAAAAUAUUAAAAGAAAAAAGCAUUGACUCUCUCCAAGCAAGAUCAUUCUGCUUAAGAUAAUCCUAUUUCCCCGCCAAAGUGGUUCUACAGUGAAGAUGGAUUUUGAUAUUUUCCAAAGUGUUUUCAAUUUAUGAUGGGUUUAACCCCAUCGUAAGUGGAGGAAGUACUGUUAUUUAAAAUCGAACACGAGG